AGGAGCGCUGUGGCCUAGGUCUCUGACUCUUAUUUCACAAGCCGCAGAGAAAAAAAAAAGAACGAAAAAAUGACCUGCUUGAUCGUUCUUUCCCCUCACGAGAUCGACUGCGGUACCCCUAAGUCGGCGGCAUGCAUCUCAAGGUCGGUUGCGCCCCUCUUUCCCCUCACUUUCCCCUCACUCAGAUAAGCCCUCUCACACCUCUUUCCCCUCUCUCUCAACUCCCUCUAACCCUAGAUUUAUUUAAUGAUUUAUGUCAAUUUUGCUAUAUUUAUUUAAUGAUUCAUGUCAAUUUUGAUUUUGAAAAUGUUUCAAAUGAGUUGAUUUUAUAUUUUGGAAUGGAAGGAUUAUAAUAAAUAUUCUAUGUAUGAUUACCAUGAUACCAUCUGCACAUAUAUAUGGAUUGAUUUUCAUCUAAUAGUCGAUUGGAAAACACUUUUGGUUUGUGUUUAUAUAACAUUCAUGAUUCAGGAAACUGGUAUAUGUUCUCCUUUAUCACAUUGUUGUUAAUGUUCUAGUGAUGCAUUUAAUAUAAAUAUCACCUCGACAAAGCCAUAAUAUGAUUGAGUUGGUCUUAGUUAACUAAAAAACAUCUCCUCAUCCAAGGCUUCUAAAUAAUGUGUAAAAUGUGUUUUUUGAAUAUUUAGAAGCAUAGAUUUCAUUUUCACCAAUAAAAUCUUGUAGGAAUAUGAUCUCGAAGGGGUAUCUUUUUCUUGGCAGAGCCAGAAUUUUUCGUCAAGGUGAGGAAAAUUUUGUGCAUUUUUUUUGUUUAUUAUGAAUCUAAGGUUGUUUAUGUAAUGGAUAUGAUUAGUGUUCUAAAAGUCGCUAGUCGGUCCCAUGUCGGUUGGCUAUCGACUAGCGACUAGGGGAUUAAUCGGCUAGUCGGAUUUUCAAUUUUUUUUUUAAAAAUAUAUAUUCUCUUUCCUCCUUCAUAAGUUUUGAAUAAGUAGAAUAACAUAAGUAACACAAAUCAUCAAAUAAAAACAUGGAAACUAAGUAAAACCAAAUAGUUCGACGCUCUAAGUUCAAAACAUGAAAACAAAUUAACCAAAUGAAAUAUAGUGAACUUCUUUGUCCUUUCAAUAGUGUUAUUAUACCUAUGCAUAAAAAUAUAAAAUAAGUCAUUUCUCCAUACCCCAUCAGAUUUUAAUAAUUUAAUUUAUAAUUGAAGUUGAAACAAUUUAAAAAUUAAAAUGAAAUAUUACAAUUAACUAAAAAAUUAAAUAAUUCUAAUUUAUCCAACCUUUUCUUUAAUGCUUAACUAAAACCAAAUAAAAAUUGUAAACUGUUUACAAAAAAAAUAAUUAGAGAAACUGUUAAGUGUUAAGUAUAAGCUUUAUAUCAGUACCUUAUAUCAGAAGAAGUCGAGGCGAGCAGCAGCAGUAGUAGUCGACGAGCAGCGUAGUUGUAGUCGAGGCGAGCAGCAGCAGUAGUCGGCAAGCAGCAGCAGUAUCAGUAGUCGGCGAGAAGCAGCAACAGCAAUAUCGUAGUCGUCGGCGAGAAGGAGUCAAGACUCGUUGUCAUUCGUCGAAGCGUCGUCGUCGGUCAGUCGUCAACGUCGAAGUCGGAGUCGUCGUCGGUCGAAGCAGCGUCGUCGGUCAGGUGAGAAGGAGUCGAGGUUCGUCGCCGUCCGAUUUGCCCCGACUUUUCUGACUAGUCGCCGACUUGAGGCCGACUAAGUCGGCCAGUGACUAAAUCAACUGACUAGGGCCUGGUCAACUCGGCGAGCCUCCGACCCCGACCUAGUUGCCGACUAGUCGGCCGACUAGGCCGACUUUUAGAACACUGGAUAUGAUGUUGUAUUUUAAUCUGUCUAAAAUUUCAUUAUUAUUAAUUCUGACAUUUUCCUUGUAUUUAAUCACCGUCUACCUCAAGUAGAGGGUGCCAUUUGUUUUUCUUUUCCUGAGAGUAAAAAAAUAUAGUACAGAUUACUUGUCACGAACAUAUGCUAGUCACUGCAGAUGCUUAUGCACAAACAAAAAGAAAGGGAAAACACUAUAUUGCUUUUGGUAUGUUCCCUCGUACGCUUGUACUUAAAUUUUGCUAUUGGUAUUGUGGUAUGGAUUAGUUUUGGGAACUUAGAGGCCUUCAAUUCAAAUGAAUUGUCACUGAAGCACUUGGAAGAUACCUUUAUCAUAUGGGAAAGAAUAUAGAAUGCCAAAACCCUAAAAUUCAUUUGGAGGGUGGCCAUCUAGGAUGCAUGUAUACCAUACUUAAUGCUCUACACCACAACCAUUGGUCUAAUGUUAAGAAAAUGCUUUGGUACAAAAGACUUGGCGGUUCAAGCAGGCACAAUGCAAGUAAGUCGUCUCUGUUUGCUCAAAUGUUUAAUGGUCAACCAUUUCAUUUCAUAAUCCUAAUUCUCAAUCUGCAAAGAUUUUUAUGCUUAUAUCAUUGUGUGUUUAAUACUUUUGGAUUUGUAAAUGUAUAUGGAAUAAAAUCUGAUACUAAAGGAUAAGAAUUUAACUUAACUGGAAGGGUCUGUUGAUGCGUCAUAGUUGUACAUAAUUCCAUAUCCUUACAUAAUUCUUUGGUGCAAGUGUUAUCAAGUUUGGGGUUAUCUAUUGUAGUUUUGUGUUAUUAAUUAAUAGCCUCUUUCCUUUUCUUUAGUUUGUGGAGAUCCAGGGAAUGACAAAGCUGCCACUGACAUAGGUGAAGUGCAAGAACACAUUGAUGCUGAAACGAGCAAGUUCCUCGUACGUUCAUUUAAGAUAACUUCGUUACCAUUGGCCUGAGUAACAAAUUCAAACUUAACCUUUGGUUGUUGUUGACCUUUUUUCAGUUAUAAUGUUCUUA
RNAcentral lists this long non-coding RNA (2796 nucleotides) under Panax ginseng (ginseng). RNAcentral describes it as "long non-coding RNA (PGIN_LNC003531)". Lineage: Eukaryota; Viridiplantae; Streptophyta; Magnoliopsida; Apiales; Araliaceae. The record is from RNAcentral.